GACGAACGCUGGCGGCGUGCUUAACACAUGCAAGUCGAGCGGUAAGGCCCUUUCGGGGGUACACGAGCGGCGAACGGGUGAGUAACACGUGGGUGACCUGCCCUCAGCUCUGGGAUAAGCCUGGGAAACUGGGUCUAAUACUGGAUAUGACUCCACGGUGCAUGUCGUGGGGUGGAAAGCCUUGUGCGGCUGAGGAUGGGCCCGCGGCCUAUCAGCCUGUUGGUGGGGUGAUGGCCUACCAAGGCGACGACGGGUAGCCGGCCUGAGAGGGCGACCGGCCACACUGGGACUGAGACACGGCCCAGACUCCUACGGGAGGCAGCAGUGGGGAAUCUUGCGCAAUGGGCGAAAGCCUGACGCAGCGACGCCGCGUGAGGGAUGACGGCCU
RNAcentral lists this ribosomal RNA (388 nucleotides) under uncultured bacterium. RNAcentral describes it as "bacterial SSU rRNA". It matches the Rfam family "Bacterial small subunit ribosomal RNA", at positions 28 to 417 of the family's 1533-position model. The record is from RNAcentral.